Molecule: small RNA, 76 nt
Filed under: Rubellimicrobium mesophilum DSM 19309
Lineage: Bacteria; Pseudomonadati; Pseudomonadota; Alphaproteobacteria; Rhodobacterales; Roseobacteraceae
Description: Rubellimicrobium sp. MSL 20 Proteo-phage-1 RNA
Rfam family: Proteo-phage-1 RNA
Source: Rfam by way of RNAcentral
ACGUGGCUCGCGCCUUUGGCGCGUUGCGAGAGCGGAUCAGCCGGAGAGUGCCGCGCAUGGAAAAACCCCGGCCGUC